GCUGCAGAUGGGCUAGGAAAUGGGCCAUAUUUACCAGCCUCGGCCUGUCCCUCUAUCCCCGAAGAACAUGGUAGAUGUUAUUAACCAACAACGACGUCGUAUCUGUACAAUAAAUCAAUACAGAACACAGCUCUUGUUCUAUUCUCUUCUCUCUCGCGCGGCUCACUCCACUGUUGGCAAAGAUGGAGUUCGCGAACCUUGAAGGUUUUUUUUUUUUUUUUUUGGAUUCGAGGAAACCUCACUCUCUAGAAAGCAUAUUUUAUGGACCCAGAUGAGGCAACUCAAAGCACAAGUUGAUGUCAUAGACAAAGCAGACGGGUAUGCUUAAUUAUUUCUAACCACCUCAUAAAAACUAUUGUUUCUUUUGUAAUUUUUUUAGAUGGUUGAAUACUAAAGUAAUCGCUGCUGUGAGGUAGCUAAUCACCAAACAGAGAGUUUUUACCCUGAUUUCCUUUUUAAAGGUGGAAAAUUAAGCAAUAAAUUUAUUAUUAUUAUUAUUAUAAAUACACUUUUAGUGGGAUUUAGGUUGCUAACUUUUCCAUUGAACGUUUAAGAGCACGAGGCAACUUUACUAUGGGUGCUUUGAAAGAUUUCAAGUAUUGCCUGCCAGUAUAACCUUUUCUUCUUGAAUCUGCAAGGGUGUGCAAAUAAAUAUUUGCAAUCGCGAAAGGUAAGCCUCUCCAUGCUAGAUGCUAGUGAUAUUUAGCUUUUGAAUUGCCAGAAAUAUUAAACCAUUUAAAAUCCUAAAAACUACUAAUAGACUCAUGAUCUAAUGGCAAUGACGUCAUUCCUCCAUGCUUUUGGAAGAAACUUGUGAUACUAGUUUCAAAUAUUGGAGAUUGAGGGGGUCAAUGGAUGAGAUUUGGAAAGCAAAGAAAUGAUUUAAUUCUGAAUUAAGAGUAAAAUAGUCAAGAUUUUUAAUUUAAUUCAAUUUCAACAUUCCAAACAGUAUAAAUAAAUUCAAUUCCAAAAGGUGACAGGUAAAUUAUACUUUUUUAUUUUUAUGAAAAUCUUCUGUUUGAUUAUGCCAUUUUCCAAACAGUAAUAUUUUUAUUUUUGUUGUAGUUUGAAUAGCAAUAAGACUUUUAUGUAACAUUAACAGUAUAAACAAUAUUAUCCUUUAAUUAAAUUAUCAACUUUUAUUUUGAUAAAUUUCUUGAAGGUGAAAUAUAGGUUCCCAAAGGCCAACUCCCCUUUCAAAAUCUAUAAUACCUUAAAAGAUUCUGAAAAGGCUGAUAGGAGACAAAGAAAGAACUUAGUCAUGGCAGAAUCAAGCCAACUUUUUGAAGAAAAAAGUGAUGAAAUAGAUCAUUUACUUGAAAGGUUUUAGGGAGGACCACUACAAACAAAAACCAACAACAUGAACUUCACUACGGACAUGCCUUCCUCCCUGUUAUUCCAUGUUAGCCAAAACCUACAAUUUAUUGCUUCAAAUGCCCUGGGAUUAUUAAAGGCUCCUGCAAUCAUGCCUCAAAAUACAUUGUAAACUACUAUAAACCAAAUGCCCCAAAUGCCUCCACCCUUAUUUCAGCCUGAAUAUGAUUCAUCAUGGGUGGUUACCAUUUUAAGAGAAAGACAGAGUAUCCAACAUAACCACAAAUGAGUAUUAGGUCGUUAAAGACGAGGGCAUAUAUGAUCUAUUUUCAACUAAUGAAGAAUGUUGCGAGCCAAAUGUUGGCAUUUCCAAAAAGUUUAGAGUCUUCUUAUUUGUUAAGUAUACAGGAUCUCAAUGUCCAGAGACUCAUCUCAAAAUAUACUACAAUAAAAUGACUGAAGUUAUCUAUGAAGAGAAACUUUUUAUUCAUCAUUUUUCAUGAAAAGGCUAGUUGAACUUGUUUUUAGUUGGUAUAUGGGUUUGAAUGGCUCUUAAAUGGAGAAGUGGGAAUAUUUGGCCAUUGCAUGUUUUAAAAAAAAUUGGAUUUAACUUGAUGGUGAUUCCAACCAGGUAUGACCUUUAAAGAAUGGGGAUGAGAAGUAAUGAGUUAGUGAAGGAAUAUGUUAUGAGACUACAUGACAUGGCAACAUAAAUCUACCCUUCUCUGCUUGAAAAUGAGCUCACUUUCAUCUUUAUUGAGACUUUAGAGCUCAAUAACUCUAGUCAUUUUAGAAGCUCCAUACUUCGGCUACUUGAUGAACAAUUCAUCAAGCUAUUUUAUGGAUUUAGGGACUGCAGCAAAAAGGAUGGAGCAAGGCUUGAAGUCAGGAAGGAUCAGGAAUCCGAUAGUGAGGUUUAAUGUUAUGUCAAAGAACAAAUCAAAAGUGGACUCCCAUAUAGAGAAUAUGGAUCAAAAUCAUUCUAUACCUCAUCUUAAAUACCGUCUAUUUUCAUAACACCAAUAACUUUCCAAGUGUCAUUAGCUAAUAUUGACAUAUCUCUAUCACUUGGCAUUAUUUACCCACACCUUUGAAAUAUUGGACACAUUGCUCUGAUUCCAUCAAAUCCCAUAUGACCACUAUACUUGAAGUGGUAAGACCCAAAUGUAAAGUGUAAGUAUCAUGAUGAUGAGAUCCUAUGACAAUCAAUUGAGAAUUACAAGAAGUUGAAGCAUCAAAGCCAAAAGUGGGUAGGAUGGGGCAUGAGGAUGGAAGAUGCACCAGAUGAAUGCACAGGCCACAUAUAUUUGUUGGAGGGGGUUGAUAUGAAAUAGAAGUGUUACAUUGUCAACUCUUUUGUCAUUGAACUUUGCCGAGUUCUAUUUUUGUUAAAAAAAACAUCAAAACCUUGGAAUUAUUAAAUAUGUUUUCCAUGUAUUUUGAAACUAAAUUAUAUCUUUUAAUAGAACAUGCUUUUUUUUUGUCUCA
Populus nigra (black poplar) is the source of this 2802-nucleotide long non-coding RNA. RefSeq lists it as uncharacterized. The transcript is spliced from 2 exons. The record is from RefSeq and is a predicted model, not a curated record. Lineage: Eukaryota; Viridiplantae; Streptophyta; Magnoliopsida; Malpighiales; Salicaceae.